UAGUCCACGCCGUAAACGAUGGUUACUAGCUGUUUGGACUUCGGUCUGAGUGGCUAAGCGAAAGUGAUAAGUAACCCACCUGGGGAGUACGAUCGCAAGAUUGAAACUCAAAGGAAUUGACGGGGGCCCGCACAAGCGGUGGAGCAUGUGGUUUAAUUCGAUGAUACGCGAGGAACCUUACCAGGGCUUAAAUGUAGGAUGCAUUAGUUAGAGAUAGCUAUUUCUUCGGACUUCUUACAAGGUGCUGCAUGGUUGUCGUCAGCUCGUGCCGUGAGGUGUCAGGUUAAGUCCUAUAACGAGCGCAACCCCUGUUGUUAGUUACCAGCACGUAGUGGUGGGGACUCUAACAAGACUGCCGGUGCAAACCGCGAGGAAGGUGGGGAUGACGUCAAAUCAUCACGGCCCUUACGUCCUGGGCUACACACGUGCUGCAAUGGAGUGACAGCGCGUCGCUACUCCGCAAGGAGACGCUAAUCGCUAAAAGCUUCCUCAGUUCGGAUUGUCCU
This 506-nucleotide ribosomal RNA is filed under the name uncultured bacterium. RNAcentral's name for it is "bacterial SSU rRNA". It matches the Rfam family "Bacterial small subunit ribosomal RNA", at positions 791 to 1304 of the family's 1533-position model. The record is from RNAcentral.